Molecule: long non-coding RNA, 933 nt
Filed under: Ananas comosus (pineapple)
Lineage: Eukaryota; Viridiplantae; Streptophyta; Magnoliopsida; Poales; Bromeliaceae
Description: long non-coding RNA (ACOM_LNC012589)
Source: RNAcentral
GUCGACGAGCCAAUCUCCGCGCUCGAGCCACCAACAUAGUUCGGAGAGCGACAUAACGGCUUUUUCUUCGCUGCCUUCGUCUCCUCGCGAUGAAUCUGUAAGCGAAGUUCAGCAAUGUCUGCUUAAUCGAAAACAAGUACAUGUUGCUAGAUAAGAAUCUCAGUAAGCGAAUAAUUCAUGAUUCUCUUCGCAGGAGGAUACUUGGGUUGAGAAUGAUGUAUAUGAGCAACUGAAGAAUGCCCUCAUAGAGGCGGAGGACUUAAAGCGCGAAGCAUAUGAAGAGUCCUGCCGGCGCAAGAAGGCCGAGAGAGAUUUGGUUGGGGUUGCUCAAAGAGUAAGGCUUUCUAUAUCGGUGAGAAAUUACAAUUCUUCUUUUAUCGCCUUUCGCCUGCGUAAUCAGAUUUGAAGAAGGCGAAUCACGAAGCCGAUUUUCUCACGCAGGCUAAAGCAGCCGAGAGUUUACACAUCAAAGAGAUGAGACUGAAGAGAGAUACAGAAGAAGAACUGGCAAGAAAAAACGCGGAACUUGAAGAUCUCAGAAAAGUGCAUGAACAAAUUCUCGUCGAAUUGAAGAAUGCAAAUGAGCAAAAAAUGAAACUAGCUAUCCGUGUCGCAAACUGUGAGCGCGUGAUUAAGGAAUUCGAAGCCAAAGCAUCGGAAGCCCACUCGAUCCAAGAAAAGCUCCGACAGGAUGUCGGAAAGUUCGAGAAGGAAAGAAAUGAGGCUGUAAGAGAAGCUGAAGAGUUGCGGAAAGAGAAAGAGGAAACAGUCUCGAGCGCGCUAGCGAGAGCGGCCUUCUCGGAGUUCACCUAUUCGGAGUUGGAGGAAGCGACGAAUAACUUCGACACGUCGUUGCUGAUCGGCGAAGGUGGAUACGGAAAAGUGUACAGGGGCUUCCUUCGCCACACGGUGGUGGCCAUAAAGAUGUUGAAU